Molecule: non-coding RNA, 29 nt
Filed under: Rattus norvegicus (Norway rat)
Lineage: Eukaryota; Metazoa; Chordata; Mammalia; Rodentia; Muridae
Source: RNAcentral
UCUUAUUAUUGUUAAAUAUGUUGCCAUGC